Molecule: ribosomal RNA, 484 nt
Filed under: uncultured bacterium
Lineage: Bacteria
Description: partial 16S ribosomal RNA
Rfam family: Bacterial small subunit ribosomal RNA
Source: RNAcentral
AUUGGACGCUGGCGGCAUGCUUUACACAUGCAAGUCGAACGGCAGCGCGGGCUUCGGCCUGGCGGCGAGUGGCGAACGGGUGAGUAAUACAUCGGAACGUGCCCAGUAGUGGGGGAUAGCUCGGCGAAAGCCGGAUUAAUACCGCAUACGACCUGAGGGUGAAAGCGGGGGAUCUUCGGACCUCGCGCUAUUGGAGCGGCCGAUGGCAUAUUAGCUAGUUGGUGGGGUAAAGGCCUACCAAGGCGACGAUCUGUAGCUGGUCUGAGAGGACGACCAGCCACACUGGGACUGAGACACGGCCCAGACUCCUACGGGAGGCAGCAGUGGGGAAUUUUGGACAAUGGGCGAAAGCCUGAUCCAGCAAUGCCGCGUGUGUGAUGAAGGCCUUCGGGUUGUAAAGCACUUUUGGCGGGAACGAAAAGGACUGUGCCAAUACCACGGUUCGAUGACGGUACCCGCAGAAUAAGCACCGGCUAACUACGUG